GAUGAACGCUGGCGGCGUGCCUAAUACAUGCAAGUCGAGCGAACAGAUGAGGAGCUUGCUCCUCUGACGUUAGCGGCGGACGGGUGAGUAACACGUGGAUAACCUACCUAUAAGACUGGGAUAACUUCGGGAAACCGGAGCUAAUACCGGAUAAUAUAUUGAACCGCAUGGUUCAAUAGUGAAAGACGGUUUUGCUGUCACUUAUAGAUGGUUCCGCGCCGCAUUAGCUAGUUGGUAAGGUAACGACUUACCAAGGCAGCGAUGCGUAGCCGACCUGAGAGGGUGAUCGGCCACACUGGAACGGAGACACGGUCCAGACUCCUACGGGAGGCAGCAGUAGGGAAUCUUCCGCAAUGGGCGAAAGCCUGACGGAGCAACGCCGCGUGAGUGAUGAAGGUCUUCGGAUCGUAAAACUCUGUUAUUAGGGAAGAACAAAUGUGUAAGUAACUAUGCACGUCUUGACGGUACCUAAUCAGAAAGCCACGGCUAACUACGUG
This 497-nucleotide ribosomal RNA is filed under the name uncultured bacterium. RNAcentral describes it as "partial 16S ribosomal RNA". It matches the Rfam family "Bacterial small subunit ribosomal RNA", at positions 28 to 507 of the family's 1533-position model. The record is from RNAcentral.